GAUCCUGGCUCAGGAUGAACGCUGGCGGCGUGCUUAACACAUGCAAGUCGAACGAAGCACUUUAUUUGAUUUCCUUCGGGACUGAUUAUUUUGUGACUGAGUGGCGGACGGGUGAGUAACGCGUGGGUAACCUGCCUUGUACGAGGGGGAUAACAGUUGGAAACGGCUGCUAAUACCGCAUAAGCGCACGGCAUCGCAUGAUGCAGUGUGAAAAACUCCGGUGGUAUAAGAUGGACCCGCGG
This 242-nucleotide ribosomal RNA is filed under the name uncultured bacterium. RNAcentral's name for it is "partial 16S ribosomal RNA". It matches the Rfam family "Bacterial small subunit ribosomal RNA", at positions 15 to 236 of the family's 1533-position model. The record is from RNAcentral.